ACAGGUGCAGAACAGGUUUCACACGGGACAAAAGCGCUGCAGGGAAAAUUCUCAGGCAUCCACACACCAAGGGAGCCCCAGCGAGGGUCAGACACCCGGAGCAGCAGCCACAGGACACGGCCUGCAAAAUUCUGCUGAUGAAAUCAAAUCAGGAAAAAGUGUUGUGACAGAUUCUCCAUCAGUACCCUCUGAAUUUCACUGGCUGAUCCUGCAUGAGACCCUAUUUUCAUGUGAAGAAAAGGGAUAUAAAAUUAAAAUCCUCUAAGGCAGGCACUAAAACUCCUCUGCGUGAAUUUUGAGCGUGCUUUAAAAAGAAAAAAAACCAAAAAAAACCCACAAAAACAUCUCUAAAUCAACCUGACACAGCUUUAGUUUUCAUUGUUCAACAGCCUGGACCUUUAAAAAUAUUAGCUUCAGGUUAGAAAAUAUUUGUCAACCCAAAUCCAAAUAGUUAUUCUUGCACGGACUGCCUCGGUUUUGUUUGAAAAUAAACUUCACAGGAACUGUGAACAUCAGAAACUCCAUCUAGGACAGGGAUAAUGUGUCAGGAAAGGAAGAUUUAUAGCAGCAGGAACAAGGGGGAAGGAAACAUUUCAAUCAAAUGACAGAGCAGUUUAAAAGCUCAAGUGCUAUAUUUAAUUUCUGCACUGUCCUUUUUGCUCUGCUCAUUCUGUAAGUUAAUAGCUUGACAGCUCUUCAGAUGGAUUUCUGGAGGAUCUGUCACCUCGGUAUCCAUGCACCAGGUGCACACACACAAACAGAAUGCCUUCCACAAACACCCACUUCAAAAGAGAAACUCAAAAUAAAUGUUGUUUUCUUUUUAAGUCCAAAAAACAAAAGUCUGCAGUUUCGACAAAAUGUCAAUAUUUCAAAAGGAGCUUGGGUAGCUUUGCCUCUUCUCUGCCUCGGGGGCACUUUUCUCCCACAUCCUGCUGUGGUUUCUACCUUGUCACCCCACAGUCAGCAGCGCUCCUGGCUACCUCAUAAUCCCAAAAAUGACAUUUCACCUUCUCCCCAGGGCACCUGCGAGUCAAACCCCCAGAGCAUCACCCCUGAAUUUAACCAGGAGAACGUGAACCUUCACCCAAGCACCUCCCUGCCCUGGGGAAGGGCCGAGCAGCCCUUUGGGGGUUUUCAUGAAGGUUUAUUCCAUGCACUGGAGCACACAUUGUCUCUGGAGCUGGAUCCCAGACAGGACUUUGCACAUGAAAUUUGCUCUUUGCACAUGAAAUGAGAUGAGUUCUAUUACAACCUGACAGAUGAGAACCUGCUGCAAGCAGCGCCUGUUGAGUAAAUUCUUAUUUCAGCGCCCUCCCUGCCAGCAGUUGCUGUCCCUGGUUUGGUUUGGGCUGGGUGACACCUGAUCCCUGCACGUGUUGUUUUUUGGAAAUACCAGCCACAGUCUGGGACAAAGAGAGGUUCACACAUUCCUCUGGCUCAUCCUCGCCUCCCUUUUUCCCUCCUCGGUGCAAUAUUUUCCAUUCAAACUCCACUCGGUGGGAAAAUCAGCGUUUGGAUAAAUGACAUCAGUUCUUUCUGCUGUAGAACUUGAAUUUAUCUGGGUUUUGGCCUCUGAAUUAAAAGUAGGUGUGCACAUCCCUGUAGUUCCAGAGCCCACAAGUGCCAAGUGCAUCACCCACCCCAAAAAAUUGGGAUCUGCUCCUACUGGGAUCACAGCCUUGCCAUCCCCAACCUUGUGGGUAACAAUUUGUGUCCCAUCUCUGCUGUGAGAGCCAGAACUUGAGGAAUAUUUCUUGUAUCACACACUGGUCCCUGCCCAUUUUAACAAUACUUGAAAAGAUGGGGGAAAAAAGGGCUUUCUCAGGGGUUAUUUUAUAUAGAAACUCUGUAUUUAUAGAAGGAAUUAAUUAGAGAUUAAUAUCUAUUUGUGCCUUUCACGAGAAACAAUUCCCACGUCAGCAACAGCCAUUAAAGGCUCCAAACCAGGAAUUUCUGCUGAGAGAGCACCACCUUCACCAGGCAUUUCAGUUCUGACCUCAUGCCCAGCAGCAGCCCCCAGAUGUUUCAGGCACCCCCCAGAAUUCCGGGAGCUGUCAGAUGUGAUUCCAGCAGCACGGCACACGGAGCAUUUUCUCAGCAUUAGGGCAGAACUUUCACAGUUAAUUUCUUUAGGCGCUGUUCUCUCUCCAAAUUUAAGGGGACAGUGGAGCCAAAGAUAGCAAACAGUACAAAUUAAAUCAAUGUCAUGGCUUGGCAGUGAUAAUCCAUCAGGAGACAGCAGCAGGGCACAGGUUUCAGAACCUGUUUGACAGUCUGAGUUCUCUUUAUGUUUCAGAAGUGAAGGGAAUUAUUUGGCACUGCCCGUUCACACUGAUCAAGAGAUUCUGCUCGAGCAUCAGCAAGGGAAGCUCAUUUCUCCUCCUAAAUCUAACGAGGGGAUCAAGGAUUAAUUAAAUUCAGUCCAUCACAGGACAAAGGGUGAUUCAUUAGAGUGAAUUUCCAUUGGAGCCUGGGUUUGGGUGUGCAGUGUGUGGAGGAAUUCCAUGGGAUUCCUCUCCCUGCACAGCAGUGACCCGAUGGAUCACAGCUCCCAGCACACCCUUAAGCACAGGAGGACAAGCCUGGGGGUACAAACAGGCUCUGAGCAAGGAAUUUCCCCUCUCCAGGUAAAAUCCCUGCUCCACAAACCCUGGUUUGAUGCAGCCAGCUUGGGCUGUUUGCUUCCAUCCAGCACCUGGACAAAACAAACACUUCCCAAGUUAAAAAUGAAGGUUUUGUUACAGAACACCCUCCAGGCCAGAGACUGAGCCUCUCACCAGAUCCAUAACUUUUCAUUCCAGGGAGAUGCAGCAAAUUAUUUGUACAAAGAGAAGCCAGUGCUUGUCCUGACCAGCACAGCGGAUGGCCUGACUCCAAUUUACAUUCGUGUCUGGCACAGAGCCGGAACCUGUUCCUGGCUGUGCCUUCCCUGCUGCUGCCCUGGCUGAUCCAGGAAAUUCAGAUCCAGGAAAUUCAGAUCCAGAAAACCCAGAUCCAGAAAACCCAGAUCCAGGAAAUUCAGAUCCAGGAAAUUCAGAUCCAGAAAACCCAGAUUCAGGAAACCCAGAUCCAGAAAACCCAAAUCCAGGAAAUUCAAAUCCAGAAAACCCAGAUUCAGGAAAUUCAGAUCCAGGAAAUUUCAGCUCCAGAAAACCCAAAUCCAGGAAAUUCAGCUCCAGAAAACCCAAAUCCAGGAAAUUUCAGCUCCAGAAAACCAAAAUCCAGGAAAUUCAAAUCCAGAAAACCCGAGAUCCAGGAAAUUCAGCUCCAGAAAACCCAAAUCCAGGAAAUUCAGAUCCAGGAAACCCAGAUCCAGAAAACCCAGUGCUCUACAGCAGAGCCUGAAGAGAAUAAAUCACUGCUACCUCUGGGUCCUGGUUUCA
Molecule: long non-coding RNA, 3383 nt
Organism: Cyanistes caeruleus (blue tit)
Lineage: Eukaryota; Metazoa; Chordata; Aves; Passeriformes; Paridae
Source: Ensembl